AAUACGCUAUGGUGCUAAGCACCAUACCAUCACAACAGAUGAUGACGAUGCAAUUGUACAUCAAGAAUUGACGCACUAACCACAAAAAAUAAUAUGCCACGGAUCAAGCACAGUAGCAAAGGGGGUCACCAAGAAAAAGAUCUAAAGGAACGCGAUCUGAGGGCGCGGUUUAACCCUCAUUCUGGGCUCUUGGUGAUUUAGAAGACUAAAUCCUUCUUCGCCCUGAACUUCUGUUGCUAUUUCGAAACCAAACCAGCACAAAAACCUAGUAUUAAUGUUGUAUUAGUUCUACUUUGUAAGAUCUUUCUCAUUAGUUUAUAACAUGAUAUUUGAUCUUGAUAUUUGUGAGCUGCUUCAGUAGAACCGUCUAGAAAAUUCAGGCUUCGAAGGAGUAUUUUGCCAGACGAGCUGGCGUAGAUCGACACCAUCUGCCAAAACUCGUUGGCUUAGAGUUUGUUAUUAGUUUUGCCUAAUACUAUUGGCGUUAUGUUCUUCAGUUUUUCUGCCAUGAAUCGAUGGCGUUGAGAUUAUGAUUAUUAUGGUUAAGAUGAGAUUAUGAUUAGCUUUGCAUAUAUUCAGUUAUGUAGUUUAUCACCAGUGCACGGUGAAUUGUGAUCGAGCUUCGCUCGAUAGUUAGUCGAUCAACACUCCUUAUUCGAAUGCCUAGUGGCGUGAUUAAGAAUUUUUCAUGAAUCGCUGUCACGAUUCAUGAAAAAUUCUACCAAAGUAGCAAUGUUAUGUUACAUAUGAAUAUUCUAUGUUUAUUUGAUACGAUACGAGCGCAUUCGCAAACAUUAUUUUCAUUAACCCAUUCCCUCAUGAAAGAUUACUGAGCGUGCAUACACGAAAUAAGUACAAAAAUAAAAGUUGCCAUCAACAAACCGAAAAACACGGAAACAAAACACGGUGCAAAAAUUCGCACCGCAGGAAGAAUGUUUAGCCAGAAAUCUGGCAGGCAUAGAACAGACUCGGAUUUGACAGGCGUCAAACCUAAACCUCAAAGGUUGGCAGCAUUGAACUGUCAUUGCGCUUCCGGAAAACUGCACAGAAAGUGCAAGGAAAAAAAGAAAAAGUGCGCCAUUGGUGUGACGAACGCCGCUCCCCGGAGAAGCAACGAUUUGCGGACAAAUUUGAAGCUACGCUCCGCGGAAAGAGCCAGGAACACCGCUCGAUCCCAGAAUCGGGAGGAGACGAGAACGGCACGCUAAACGAGGAGUCGUCGUGAAUCCACCAAUUGGUCGCCACAAAAUCCGCCAAUCGAUUCCGUGCACGUCGGGCGAAGAGUGGCUAGUUCCGAGCCACAGCAAAGACAGACAGGAAGAGAGCA
Molecule: long non-coding RNA, 1327 nt
Organism: Uranotaenia lowii
Lineage: Eukaryota; Metazoa; Arthropoda; Insecta; Diptera; Culicidae
Exons: 3
Source: RefSeq, a predicted model, not a curated record